This 90-nucleotide transfer RNA is filed under the name bacterium. RNAcentral's name for it is "tRNA-Ser". It matches the Rfam family "tRNA". Rfam says of the family: Transfer RNA (tRNA) molecules are approximately 80 nucleotides in length. Their secondary structure includes four short double-helical elements and three loops (D, anti-codon, and T loops). The record is from RNAcentral.
GGAGAGAUGUCUGAGCGGCCUAAAGAGCUCGCCUGGAAAGCGACGCGGUGCGAAAGCGCCACGUGGGUUCGAAUCCCACUCUCUCCGCCA